Non-coding RNA from Phodopus roborovskii (desert hamster), 393 nucleotides. Lineage: Eukaryota; Metazoa; Chordata; Mammalia; Rodentia; Cricetidae. The record is from the annotation of a RefSeq genome assembly.
GAAGCUUGUAGACAGAGACCAGACAACAAGAUGGGUUUACUGGUGAAGACUGUCACCUUGCUGCUACUCAGUGUAGUGGUAUCAUAUAGUGAAAAUAUUCUCACGCAGUCUCCAGCAUCCAUGGCCAUAUCUCAAGGGGAGAAGGUCACCAUCACCUGCAGUGCCGGCUCAAGUGUAAGCUCUAAUUACUUCUACUGGUACCAGCAGAAGCCAGGAGCCUCUCCUAAGCUCCUGGUCUAUGGCACAUCCAGGCUGGCUUCUGGAGUCCCAGCUCGCUUCAGUGGCAGUGGGUCUGGAACCACUUACACUCUCACGAUCAGCAGCAUGGAGGCUGAAGAUGCUGCCGUUUACUACUGUCUGCAGAAGAGCAGUGCACCUUUCACACAGUUCUAG